Molecule: long non-coding RNA, 1053 nt
Filed under: Dromaius novaehollandiae (emu)
Lineage: Eukaryota; Metazoa; Chordata; Aves; Casuariiformes; Dromaiidae
Description: lncRNA (ENSDNVG00000003647.1)
Source: RNAcentral
AGGGAGGGGACUCGCGGCAGCAACAAAGUGGGCCGCCCUGUCUUCAAACUGAGGAUAAGAGCAAGUGAUGGAGUCUCCGGCCACAGCUUGAAAGCAACCCAUCAAUGUCAUCUUGAGUUAAGUACCUGAUUCUGGCACUUUGCUGUAGUUCUUGGGGGGAUAAGGGUUCUGACAGGGUCAUUGUUUCAAGUGGAGUUCAGUCUUUUGUUUGCCAUAAACGAAGAAGACAGGAAGUCAGCUGUGAGGUUUAGGAAUAAUAUUUAGAUAAUUGUGAGAUAUCUCAUCUUAAAGUUCAAACUGAUUGAACCUGAGCUGAGUUUUGAGUCAAACUUUGUUUACGGGCUCAUCAUCCUUGUGGCUGACACUUGCAAAGAGAGAAAGAGAGAGAAAAACAGGGAAAGAGAAUGAGCCAGGACUUACGGUUUCUUUCUGACCUUGGCAAGAGGGAAAAAUCCAUACGGAAAACAAACCGAUAAAUAAUAAUAAAUAAUAACACCAACAGCGAUGCCAACGCUCCAGCAGCAGGAAAAUAAAAAUAACACUCCUUUGUGCCCACAUUCUUAAUAAUGCUGCAUAUGGCUAUUUAAUCCGAGCUUCUGCAAAAAGCUACCAGGAAGAUGCUUGCACCAAACACAGCAUGAGCCUUGCAUUUAAUCGGUUACUGUAAUAAACAUAUAAAAAAAGAUUUUUUUUUUUCCAGGAGAGGACAGAGCAGUGGCUACAUAAAAGGACAUCAAAUGACACAUCCUCCAUCUCCCAGCAAAUAAAAAAGCCAUCAGCUCAUAACAAGGCGGUGAUAAAAGAGCAUUUCCUUGGACCCUCUGAGAUAGGAGCUAAAGCACCGUUUGCAAAGCCGGGUGUCACAGAGCAAGGGGUUGCCCUCUGCAGACAGAGUCAGAGAUCAGACUCUGCAAAGAAGCAUGUACUGGCUAAUGGCUCUCUCCAGCGCUAAUGUUGACGGGAGAUGUAAAGCCCAUGUCCUACCACAACAAUGCAAGAAUUGUUUAUAAUUGUAUUUGGAAAUAAACAUUUAUUAAGUGCUUUGUAAAUGCA